RNAcentral lists this ribosomal RNA (234 nucleotides) under uncultured bacterium. RNAcentral describes it as "partial 16S ribosomal RNA". It matches the Rfam family "Bacterial small subunit ribosomal RNA", at positions 116 to 334 of the family's 1533-position model. The record is from RNAcentral.
CGUAAUCAACCUGCCCUUCAGAGGGGGACAACAGUUGGAAACGACUGCUAAUACCGCAUACGAUCUAACCUCGGCAUCGAGGAUGGAUGAAAGGUGGCCUCUAUUUAUAAGCUAUCACUGAAGGAGGGGAUUGCGUCUGAUUAGCUAGUUGGAGGGGUAACGGCCCACCAAGGCGACGAUCAGUAGCCGACCUGAGAGGGUGACCGGCCACAUUGGGACUGAGACACGGUCCAA